Molecule: ribosomal RNA, 402 nt
Filed under: uncultured bacterium
Lineage: Bacteria
Description: bacterial SSU rRNA
Rfam family: Bacterial small subunit ribosomal RNA
Source: RNAcentral
AGGGAAUAUUGCAAAAUGGGCGAAAGCCCGAUGCAGCAACGCCGCGUGGGCGAUGAAGGCCUUCGGGUCGUAAAGCCCUUUUUGAGGGGAUGAGGAAGGACAGUACCCUCAGAAUAAGCCUCGGCUAACUACGUGCCAGCAGCCGCGGUAAUACGUAGGGGGCAAGCGUUGUCCGGAUUUACUGGGUGUAAAGGGCGCGCAGGCGGGAUAAAAAGUCAGUGGUGAAAUCCUACAGCUUAACUGUAGAACUGCCUUUGAUACUUUUAUUCUUGAGUUCGGGAGAGAGAGACUGAAUUCCAGGUGUAGUGGUGAAAUACGUAGAUAUCUGGAAGAACACCAGUUGCGAAGGCGGUCUCUUGGUCCGACACUGACGCUGAGGCGCGGAAGCGUGGGGAGCAAACA